RNAcentral lists this long non-coding RNA (519 nucleotides) under Helianthus annuus (common sunflower). Its description in RNAcentral is "sRNA HanXRQr2_Chr02g0068291". Lineage: Eukaryota; Viridiplantae; Streptophyta; Magnoliopsida; Asterales; Asteraceae. The record is from RNAcentral.
GUUGUUAAGAAAAUAUAGUAAAAUUAUUUUCUUGGCAUGAUAUAAGAAAACUGUGAGUCUAGCCCACAAUAGUCUUUGUGCAUUGCAUGAGUGAGAGUGGGCCGAGCCCGAACGAACCUUUGUAAGCAGGAUCAGCGCGUCCUCUUACUUAGGUGUAAUUUGAAAACGUUACCAAAGUUUGUAAAUCCAUGUAUUUGUGAGUUUCCAUCAAAUGAAUCUUAUGAAUAUAUGAAAGUUUUAGUGUUGUAAAUGGGUAUGUAAAGCGUCUAUGAACAGGUUGAUCGUUAAUUUUCCAUCAAAUGAAUCUUAUGAAUAUAUGAAAGUUUUAGUGUUGUAAAUGGGUAUGUAAAGCGUCUAUGAACAGGUUGAUCGUUAAUGUUUCGCGAGGACAUUAACGUAUGCGACGACAUAGGAAGUACUCAACCUGUGUAGACGAUUUUUAGUGUCGAAUCACCUCGACUGUGUCGAAUCACCUCGACUGUGUGAAUCACUUCCACUUUGUCGAAUAACCUCGACUGU